This 533-nucleotide long non-coding RNA is filed under the name Linum usitatissimum (flax). RNAcentral's name for it is "long non-coding RNA (LUSI_LNC004905)". The record is from RNAcentral. Lineage: Eukaryota; Viridiplantae; Streptophyta; Magnoliopsida; Malpighiales; Linaceae.
ACCAUAACUUCUAUCUUCAAAACUAGAGAAAACCCAUCAACAAAUUAACUUUAGAGAUCAUGACACUUAGCCAAAUUGAUCAAGUUCACGGAGUUAUACUAGUGAAGAAGUUCGUCGGUGGCGACAAAAAGAGAGGAGGCGUGAUUCCGGUGAAGAGGAAGUUGGUGAAGAAGAUGGUGUUCGAUGCCAUUUUGCUGUCUGUCGCCACGGUUCUCAACCACUUCUGCAACGGUAACAAAGAACGACGAUAAUAGCGAAAUCAGGAUGAUCCGAUAUUUGAUUUCAUCAACGGACGAAGGCGGCAAGGACAGGGAAAUAUAUACUAUAUUUUGAUGGACUAGUACCAUCAUGCAUGAUAAUUAUCAAUUGGGAUACGUUCUUUGUAAUAUAUUGAUAGGGGUUAGACCGACGUUAUCUAACGAGAGAAUCCCUGUCAAUUAACGAUUCUCUUGUAGUAAUAUAUUUCGAUCGGGGUAGACUAUUUUGUAAAUGGCAAGUCACAUGUAAAUAAAAUAAUUAAUUUACUAUAAGGG